Molecule: ribosomal RNA, 368 nt
Filed under: Anaplasma phagocytophilum
Lineage: Bacteria; Pseudomonadati; Pseudomonadota; Alphaproteobacteria; Rickettsiales; Anaplasmataceae
Description: bacterial SSU rRNA
Rfam family: Bacterial small subunit ribosomal RNA
Source: RNAcentral
GGGGGAAAGAUUUAUCGCUAUUAGAUGAGCCUAUGUUAGAUUAGCUAGUUGGUAGGGUAAAGGCCUACCAAGGCGAUGAUCUAUAGCUGGUCUGAGAGGAUGAUCAGCCACACUGGAACUGAGAUACGGUCCAGACUCCUACGGGAGGCAGCAGUGGGGAAUAUUGGACAAUGGGCGCAAGCCUGAUCCAGCUAUGCCGCGUGAGUGAGGAAGGCCUUAGGGUUGUAAAACUCUUUCAGUAGGGAAGAUAAUGACGGUACCUACAGAAGAAGUCCCGGCAAACUCCGUGCCAGCAGCCGCGGUAAUACGGAGGGGGCAAGCGUUGUUCGGAAUUAUUGGGCGUAAAGGGCAUGUAGGCGGUUCGGUAA